RNAcentral lists this transfer RNA (85 nucleotides) under Candidatus Magasanikbacteria bacterium RIFOXYA2_FULL_44_8. RNAcentral's name for it is "tRNA-Leu". It matches the Rfam family "tRNA". From Rfam's summary of the family: Transfer RNA (tRNA) molecules are approximately 80 nucleotides in length. Their secondary structure includes four short double-helical elements and three loops (D, anti-codon, and T loops). Further hydrogen bonds mediate the characteristic L-shaped molecular structure. tRNAs have two regions of fundamental functional importance: the anti-codon, which is responsible for specific mRNA codon recognition, and the 3' end, to which the tRNAs corresponding amino acid is attached (by aminoacyl-tRNA synthetases). tRNAs cope with the degeneracy of the genetic code in two manners: having more than one tRNA (with a specific anti-codon) for a particular amino acid; and 'wobble' base-pairing, i.e. permitting non-standard base-pairing at the 3rd anti-codon position. The record is from RNAcentral. Lineage: Bacteria; Candidatus Magasanikiibacteriota.
GGUCCGAUGGUGGAACUGGUAUACACGCAGCACUUAAAAUGCUGUGCCGCAAGGCAUGUGGGUUCGAUUCCCACUCGGACCACGA